RNA transcript from Bombyx mori (domestic silkworm), 4864 nucleotides. It is a transcript of the gene named soluble guanylate cyclase 89Da, with no coding region annotated. The record is from RefSeq and is a predicted model, not a curated record. NCBI's taxonomy places the organism in Eukaryota, Metazoa, Arthropoda, Insecta, Lepidoptera, Bombycidae. The transcript is spliced from 15 exons.
UAACACGCUAUUAACUAAUCCGCGAUCAAAUCAACCCGGAGGGCGCACAAAGAAUAUCAAACAGUUAACGCUGAGCCUUAUAAGCUUAGUUCUACCGCGAAAGCCUUGCGAGUAAUACGCUUCGAAGGCUACCACCCUGUAACAAAUAUAACAAGUACAUCUUAGAGUAUUUCGGGAAUAUUUUCGUACAAUAUUGUUAGGUAUAUUCUUCAAACAUGUACGGUUGGCUGUUGGAAAGCGUACAACAUUUCAUUGUGGAGGAAUGUGGGGAAGAAAUAUGGGAAACGAUUCUAAGGGAGGCAGGUGCCAGAAACACAGUCUUCAGUGCGACACAGCAAUACCCAGACGCCCUGAUGCUCCGACUAGCCAGCGCUUUAGCUCGUCUCCUCUCAAAAGACCCCAACAGCCCUGUACCGUCCCGGCCAGCGAGUCCAGUACCAAAGAAACCAUCUUUCAAAUCCAAGCCCAGCUGGAGAAGCGCAUCAGUCCACGCAGACAAUAGACCACAGACCUUCAAAUGUCCCUUCACAGCCACAAACGUAUUGACAGCUGUCACUAAGAAAGAAAUUAAUGCUUACACGUCUACUGAAGAGAUUCGACCAAUGACAAUGUCAACUGACCGCAUAAAUAUGGAAAAGGGAAUAGAAGUGGUCAGAAAGGAGUUGCAGAGGCGCAGUUUGGGGAUCAAAUUAGAAGCGGUGCAUGCAGAGAAGAGUAAGGAAACCCCUGAAGAAUCUAUUCCAGAAUGUGAGCAAGCGGAGAGUCAGAACGCCGCCUCGGAACCCACAUCCCCUGAGCACGAGAAUAUGAAAAACUCCAUGUCCAAGCCAACAAGGAAGACUAGUUGUACCGUAGCAUUGGAUGUAUACCGGCGGCGAGGGUCAGGAGCUCCGGGAAGGCAAAGACUGAACAGCAUCAGCCUCAUUUCGUGCGAGAAACUAAACGCCAUGAAAGAGAAAUUUGCCACACCGGAAAAGGUGAUGCACUUCUUCGGCAGGUGCUUUGUGAAAUUCUUCAGCAAUUACGGCUACGACACUAUGAUACGUGCGACCGGUCGAUACUUCUGCACAUUCCUGCAGUCCGUGGACAACAUCCAUCAGCGUAUGCGGUACACUUUUCCGAGGAUGCGGUCUCCGAGCAUGCAGCUCACGAGGGCUCACAGGCACGGAGCUGAACUCGUAUACAGCAGUGGAAGGACCGGCUUUACGCAUUACCUGAUGGGCCAGCUCUACGAGAUAGCCGAGGACAUCUUCUCAUUGAAGUUGAAAGUUUCCAUCAUGAAAGAGAGCAUGGAGGGAACAUACUAUAAUGCGGUUCUGAGAUUGGAGUUCGACAAUAGUGAUUACGUACAAUCGUUGAUGUUCCGCAAGAACAUAGCGUGUCCUCUACCAUCGGUGCCGGCUUCGCUACUGCUGCAAUUGUUUCCGUUUGGAGUACUGCUUGACCGAAGAAUGAAAAUCUUAAUGGCCGGCGAAAAAUUGGUAGCUGCUUGGGGCGGACCGUAUAAUCGUAUUGAAAAAUCGUCAAUCGUCGAAGUUCUACGCCUGAGGAAACCAAAAGUUUCGUUUACUUGGGAUAAGGUGGUCUGUAUGCAGACAAUGAUCUUCGAACUGGAGUUGGUGCGUUGGCGUGCGAAGUCCACGAGUGAGGCGAGACGAGGGUCUCAGGGUGCCCGUUCCAUAUUAUUAAGGGGACCCAUUUAUCUACUCGAAGAAAUUGACGCCCUCAUCUUCUUAUGCAGUCCCAUCUUCAAUGAUCUAGAGGAAAUCCGGCAAGCAGGUCUAUACGUCGCCGAUAUGAACGGACAUGGACUCUCUAAGGAGAUGCUCCUAAACGGUUGGCAGCAUCUCUCCAGACUAGAACUACUGUUCGAGAAAGCGGAGACCCGAUGUUCGUCUUUGGAGAAAUCCUGUAGACUACUGGACCAGUGGAAGAAGAGAGGCGAUCAGCUGUUAUACUCCAUGAUACCGAAGGGAAUUGCUGAUCAUUUGAGAGCAGGACGAGAUCCGAUGGCUGCUUGUCAAGCGUUCGAAUCUGUGACGAUAAUAUUCUGCGGAGUCCAGGUAGCAGAGGCGGGGACUCGUGCCGACGUCAUGCAGACCGUCGCUUAUAUUAACGAUGUGUAUUCGAGGAUCGACCGGCUCCUUGAUACUCAUCGAGUUUAUAAGGUGGAGACAGUAGGAACAGUGUACAUGCUGGUGUCCGGGGCGCCCGAGCGGCGCCGGGCUCAUGCCGCUUCUGCCGCCAGUGCCGCGCUCGCAGUCUGCCGCGCCCUGCCCGCGCUUACUAUAGGAAUACAUUCCGGUCCGUGCGUCGCGGGAGUGUUGGGGUUGAGGCUUCCUCGUUACUGUCUUGUGGGAGACACCGUGAACACAGCGAGUAGAAUGCAAACUUCUUCUGAGCCGGGGCGGAUCCAGAUCUCCGCUACCACAGCGGCACAACUGCCCGCGGGAAGGUUCAGGCUUCGUCCUCGAGGUGUUAUCAAAGUUAAGGGCAAGGGCAUGAUGGAAACGUUCUGGUUGGAAGGAGAGAUCGAAGAAGAGGAACAAGACGAGGCCUUGCAGCUGUUCUCGGCUUUAUGCGGAGACGAUUAAUGCUUAAAUUCCAAUGGCACGUUUCGAGCUUCGAAGGAUUCCCCUCCGGCCGAUCUGCGCUAGUACUAGGCAAGGGCAUGAUGGAAACGUUCUGGUUGGAAGGAGAGAUCGAAGAAGAGGAACAAGACGAGGCCUUGCAGCUGUUCUCGGCUUUAUGCGGAGACGAUUAAUGCUUAAAUUCCAAUGGCACGUUUCGAGCUUCGAAGGAUUCCCCUCCGGCCGAUCUGCGCUAGUACUAGUACUUUCUAAGCUUACGAUUCAAACUACAUUCUUAAUUAUACAUAUAAAUAAAAUUGGAGCGUCUGUUUGUAAUAUUAAAAUAACCACUUUUUACUACAUGCAUCUGAAUGUAUAUACGGUACAUACACCAAAAUAACAUUUUUUACAAUUUUUGUCUGUCUGUCUGUUUGUUCCGGCUAAUCUCUGGAACGGCUGGACCGAUUUUGACGAGACUUUCACUGAUAAGUAGCUGAUUAUAUAAGGAGUAGCUUAGGCUACUUUUUUUAGACUAGCUUCGCUUCGCACCCGCGAGUAACAUCGCGGGACUCAGCUAGUCACACAUAAAUAUAUUGUGUUCACAUUAUAUUAUUUUUUACUUAUAAACUUUUGAUCUUCAUUCAAUAAGUUAGGUACCAAAAAAUUUUCUAUAAUAAUUGCCUUAGGACAAACUGAACCCUUUUUUUACGUACAUUAUGCGUUAACUAGCUCUAGGACCAUUGAGCGACAAUUGCUUUUUGUCGUUAGCGUAUUCCUUCUAUCCAUGUAACCAUUGGUUUAGCGUUUGUUAUUGAAUUCGGUAAGGUCUUGUGAGUCCGGACGGGUAGGUAUCACCGCCCUGCCUAUUUCUGUCGUUAAGAGUAAUGCGUUUUGGUUUGAAGGGUGGGACAGCCGUUCUAACUAUACUGAGACCUUAGAUUCUUAGAACAUAUAUCUCAAGCUGAGUGGCGCAUUUACGUUGUAGAUGUCUAUGGCCUUCAGUAACCACUUAACACCACGUGGGCUGUGAGCUCGUCCUACCAUCUAAGUAAUAAAAAAUAAAAAAAUAAAAAAUCAUACAGCACCACUAAGCGAUAAUCGCAAGAAAGCACAUCCAAGCCUCACUAGAGAUAAGUAAAACCAAAGACAAAAUUCUAUUCAUGAUCAUUUAUUUAUUCAACAUUUGAAUUAAAUUCGACUUUAAAAUAUAUUUAAUUUUUUUUUUAAUAAUAUUAUAUUUUUGUUAAUUAUUGCAACAUUUUAUACAUUUAAAUAGUCACAAUGAAAUACAUUUUUUUCAUAUAUCAUGUUGAGUACAUUAUUUAAGCUUAUUCCUAUAUUCGUAGAACAAAUUUUAAAUUGAUAUAUAAUUUAGAAAAAAUAUAACAAUUGCAUUGAAGUGAAGAAAUUAAAGCUAAAUAAUAUAUUUGUUUUUUAAAUGAUUUAAAAAAAAAAACAAUAUAAAAAUUAGAAAAUAAAUACUAAAUUUAUCAAUAAAUCAACGUUUGAAUUUCUUUCAAACCCUUUAAUAAUAUAUUAUUGAUGUUUCUAUUAUUUUAUGUACAAGAUAAUGCUGUACCCAAGAAAUAUUGUAUAGAUUAGAUAUUUUUUUUAUAGCUUAGAUGUGUGGACGAGCUCACAGCUCACCUGGUGUUAAGUGGUUAUACUGAGCCCAUAGACAUCUAGAACGUAAAUGCGCCACCCAGCUUGAGAUAUAAGUUCUAAGGUCUCAAGUAUAGUUACAACGGCUGCCCUACCCUUCAAACCGAAACGCAUUACUGCUUCACGGCCGAAGUAGGCAGGGUGGUGGUACCCACCCGCGCGGACUCACAAGAGCUCCUACCACCAGUAAAAAGUUUCUUCAUAAAUGUAUACUGGUCUGUUUAUAAAAUUACGAUCACACUAUAAUAAGAUUUGUAAUUGGUACGUUGGCACUGAGGUACAUUGGGACGGUUAGAAGUCUAAUAUUGAUAAAAUAAAGUUUAAACUAAUUGAAUUAUUUUCAUUUAAUUAUACUCGCCUUUAUUAUUUUCAUUUAAUUAUACCAGACGUUUCGAAUUAGUGUCAUAAUAUAUCGAGGGGAGAAAGGCUGUUUCAUUUAAGAGACAUUUUUACAACUAUACAGAUUAAAAUUUAAAGUUUUAAAAUAUUUUUUAACUUUUUUUUUACAUAUCGUUCCCAAAAUUAAGUUUAAUUUUGUAUUUUUUUUUUUUUUUUAAUAUCUUUACCAAAAAGUCUUCUUCAGCUAUUUGAAUGGGUAUACUUAAUUGAAGUUCAAUUAAAAAUAUCAAAAU